RNAcentral lists this ribosomal RNA (749 nucleotides) under uncultured Methanocalculus sp. Its description in RNAcentral is "bacterial SSU rRNA". It matches the Rfam family "Archaeal small subunit ribosomal RNA", at positions 102 to 856 of the family's 1478-position model. Lineage: Archaea; Methanobacteriati; Methanobacteriota; Methanomicrobia; Methanomicrobiales; Methanocalculaceae. The record is from RNAcentral.
GGAUAAUCUGCCCUCAGGUGAGGAAUAAUCCCGGGAAACUGGGGCUAAUGCCUCAUAGGAGACGGGUGCUGGAAUGCUCUGUCUCCGAAAGGUCCGCCGCCUGAGGAUGAGUCUGCGUCCGAUUAGGUUGUUGUUGGGGUAACGGCCCAACAAGCCUUUGAUCGGUACGGGUUGUGGGAGCAAGAGCCCGGAGAUGGAUUCUGAGACAUGAAUCCAGGCCCUACGGGGCGCAGCAGGCGCGAAAACUUUACAAUGCGAGCAAUCGUGGUAAGGAAACCCUGAGUGCCUGUCAAUGCAGGCUGUUCUGGUGUCUAACACACACCAGGAGAAAGGGCGGGGCAAGACCGGUGCCAGCCGCCGCGGUAAUACCGGCUGCUCGAGUGAUAGCCACUUUUACUGGGCUUAAAGCGUUCGUAGCUUGGUCGUUAAGUCUCUGGGGAAAUCUUUUGGCUCAACCAAAAGGCGUCUCAGGGAAACUGACGAUCUUGGAACCGGGAGAGGUAAGACGUACUUCGGGGGUAGGAGUGAAAUCUUGUAAUCCCCGAGGGACGACCGAUGGCGAAGGCAUCUUACCAGAACGGCUUCGACAGUGAGGGACGAAAGCUGGGGGAGCAAACCGGAUUAGAUACCCGGGUAGUCCCAGCCGUAAACGAUGUGCGUUAGGUGUGUCAGUGACCACGAGUCGCUGAGGUGCCGAAGGGAAACCGUGAAACGCACCGCCUGGGAAGUACGGUCGCAAGGCUGAAACU